Molecule: ribosomal RNA, 386 nt
Filed under: uncultured Entrophospora
Lineage: Eukaryota; Fungi; Glomeromycota; Glomeromycetes; Entrophosporales; Entrophosporaceae
Description: SSU rRNA
Rfam family: Eukaryotic small subunit ribosomal RNA
Source: RNAcentral
AGCAGCCGCGGUAAUUCCAGCUCCAAUAGCGUAUAUUAAAGUUGUUGCAGUUAAAAAGCUCGUAGUUGAAUUUCGGGAUUGGCGCAUCGGUCGUGCCUCACGGGGUAUGAACUGGUGCAGUCAAUUUCUCACCUUCUGGAGAACCGCGAUGUCCUUAAUUGGAUGCCGCGGGGAACCAGGACCUUUACUUUGAAAAAAUUAGAGUGUUUAAAGCAGGCAUUUUUUGCUUGAAUACAUUAGCAUGGAAUAAUAAAAUAGGACGGCAUGGUUCUAUUUUGUUGGUUUCUAGGACCACCGUAAUGAUUAAUAGGGAUAGUUGGGGGCAUUAGUAUUCAAUUGUCAGAGGUGAAAUUCUUGGAUUUAUUGAAGACUAACUACUGCGAAAG